AAUCCGUGGUUUUAUAAACCGUGAGG
Molecule: transfer RNA, 26 nt
Filed under: Taxus cuspidata (Japanese yew)
Lineage: Eukaryota; Viridiplantae; Streptophyta; Pinopsida; Cupressales; Taxaceae
Description: partial tRNA-Leu
Source: RNAcentral